GCACUGCUGAGGAGUCCCACAAUAGGUCGAGACGGCCGUCCAGUGC
This 46-nucleotide non-coding RNA is filed under the name Schistosoma margrebowiei. Lineage: Eukaryota; Metazoa; Platyhelminthes; Trematoda; Strigeidida; Schistosomatidae. The record is from RNAcentral.